RNAcentral lists this ribosomal RNA (253 nucleotides) under uncultured bacterium. RNAcentral describes it as "partial 16S ribosomal RNA". It matches the Rfam family "Bacterial small subunit ribosomal RNA", at positions 524 to 776 of the family's 1533-position model. The record is from RNAcentral.
UACAGAGGGUGCGAGCGUUAAUCGGAAUUACUGGGCGUAAAGCGUGCGUAGACGGUUAUUUAAGUCGGAUGUGAAAGCCCCGGGCUCAACCUGGGAAUUGCAUUCGAGACUGAAUAGCUAGGGUGCGGUAGAGGGAAGCGGAAUUUCCGGUGUAGCGGUGAAAUGCGUAGAUAUCAGGAGGAACACCGGUGGCGAAGGCGGGUCUCUGGGCAACAACUGACGCUGAGGAGCGAAAGCGUGGGGAGCGAACAGG